GGCCUACUAGUACUACAACACCAGCCUGGAGAUGGAACGCCCUCGAACUCACACUGGGGAGAAACCCUACAUCUGUGAUGACUGUGGGUACCGGGCAGCUUGCAAGAGUGCCUUAUCCCGACAUAGGAGAACCCACACAGGAGAAAAACCCUUCAAGUGUGACCAGUGUGACUAUUCUGCAGCACAGAAAUCCAAU
Molecule: long non-coding RNA, 196 nt
Organism: Branchiostoma floridae (Florida lancelet)
Lineage: Eukaryota; Metazoa; Chordata; Leptocardii; Amphioxiformes; Branchiostomatidae
Exons: 3
Source: RefSeq, a predicted model, not a curated record